CGGGGAUAAAAACACGUCCCGGUCGGUAGUCCGGGAGCGGCCGCGGCCGCCGCCGUCAGUAACCUGCCUCCUUGGUUGUCCCUUCCCCGUGAG
Molecule: non-coding RNA, 93 nt
Filed under: chicken gut metagenome
Description: yjdF RNA
Rfam family: azaaromatic riboswitch aptamer (yjdF RNA)
Source: RNAcentral